This 46-nucleotide non-coding RNA is filed under the name Schistosoma mattheei. Lineage: Eukaryota; Metazoa; Platyhelminthes; Trematoda; Strigeidida; Schistosomatidae. The record is from RNAcentral.
GCACUGUUGAAGAGUCCAAUAAUGGGACGAAACGUACGUCCAUUGC